Molecule: ribosomal RNA, 465 nt
Filed under: uncultured bacterium
Lineage: Bacteria
Description: partial 16S ribosomal RNA
Rfam family: Bacterial small subunit ribosomal RNA
Source: RNAcentral
CUACGGGUGGCACCAGUGAGGAAUUUUGCGCAAUGGGGGAAACCCUGACGCAGCAACGCCGCGUGAGUGAUGAAGGCCUUCGGGUCGUAAAACUCUGUCAAGUGGGAAGAACCUAUGUAAGGUUAAUACCCUUAUGUACUGACGGUACCACUGAAGGAAGCACCGGCUAACUCCGUGCCAGCAGCGGCGGUAAUACGGAGGGUGCAAGCGUUAUUCGGAAUUAUUGGGCAUAAAGGGCGCGCAGGCGGUUUUGUAAGUCAGAUGUGAAAGCCCGGGGCUUAACCUCGGAAGUGCAUUUGAUACUGCAAGACUUGAGUAUGGGAGGGGGAAGUGGAAUUCCUGGUGUGGAGGUGAAAUUCGUAGAUAUCAGGAGGAACACCAGUGGCGAAGGCGACUUCCUGGACCAAUACUGACGCUGAGGCGCGAAGGCGUGGGGAGCAAACAGGAUUAGAUACCCCGGUAGUC